This is a long non-coding RNA of Camelina sativa (false flax), 491 nucleotides long. RefSeq lists it as uncharacterized. NCBI's taxonomy places the organism in Eukaryota, Viridiplantae, Streptophyta, Magnoliopsida, Brassicales, Brassicaceae. The record is from RefSeq and is a predicted model, not a curated record.
UCUACCAAGCCUAAAACUCUAAAAGAUGUACUCAAUCAUGGUUGUUUCACACAAAGGUACAGGGUUGAUAUUUGUGAGAUCAUAAUUAUAAAUGGUAGAUUAGGGCCCCUUCGGCCUGCUCAUGACCGAAGGACAUAACCGAAGGGUUCUUUGUCCAAAUCUUCAAUCAUCCGUCGCCGCAUCCCUUUGGUUGGUGGUUGCCCGGAGGAGAAGGCUGAAGGUGACCUUCGGUUGAGUUGAGGCCGAAUACUCUCCCUGAAGGGAAAGUCCUCUGUCCCCUUGGAUCAUCUCGUAAUCGAUUGGUUUUCAGAAAGGAACAGAUCCAACCACAAGAGGCACUGAAUCUUGCCAUUAUCUGGGCAAAGGAGUGGCAGACAGCCCAAUCAACGCAAUCCCAAAUCAGAUCCACUCCACCUGAUUCACCAAUUCGAGUGACUUGCUUCACUGAUGCGGCUUGGACAGAAUAAGAAGAAAGGAUGCGGCUGGAUCUU